RNAcentral lists this long non-coding RNA (3298 nucleotides) under Sus scrofa (pig). RNAcentral's name for it is "lncRNA (ENSSSCG00000052481.1)". The record is from RNAcentral. Lineage: Eukaryota; Metazoa; Chordata; Mammalia; Artiodactyla; Suidae.
CAAGUCAGGCAAUUUGCCAAAGACGGCACAGCCUGUGGAGGAUGUGAGUCUGCAGCUCUAGGCCCCAAAUUCUGGUCCCUGUUCAGCCUCAAGCAGAGUUGCUCUGAACUCUAGAGAAAACGGCGAUGGCGCAAAAGCCCAGAAUAAGAAGGACUCCUCCGUCCAGGCAGGGGCUGGGCCAGGGGCCACCUGGCUCCAGCGAGCUUCACAGCCUGUGUUGGCCCAACUUCUAACUUCUAGACUCACAGUUCCUCAAAUUGGCAGGGAUGGGGUGGGAGGUGGGUGCGAACUCCUCUGAGAAUCUGAUGAAUGAACGCGCUGGAUCCCCUCUCUAGAAGAUGUCCAUUCAUAGUCCCCUAUACAUACAACCUUGGCUGCAGUUUCAGGGGGGUUCAUGGGCCCCGGAAGUUAGCAAUUCCUUCUGAAACCCAGAAGUCCCCUCGGGGUUUGGAAGAGCAGAGAGAGAGAAAGCUGGAAACGUGUGCGCUGUGGGGGAGGGGAAGCAGUGAGAGGGGGUGCAGAGGGUGCUCAGGGCAGGACCCGCCCAGGGCAGAGCCUCAGGGAGCCUGACCGCCUCCCAGGGUGAAAUUUAUUGGCAUCAAGUGAACUCAUCAAAAAGGCACGGUGGGGCCCGGGGAGGCCUGAAGGUGGGCAGCCUGCCCUCGCCCACCGGGCCAGCCCUAACCCAACCUGGGACUGGGUUUUGUUCUAAUAAGGGAAACAGGUUUCUAUGACACAGCUCAGAUUCCUAAAUCUCCACCUGGAAAGUGGAUUCCGAUCCCUUUCCCUGAAGCCAGCAGUGUCCACAGGGAGAAUAAAAAAACCCAGAGUGGUCCUGGUCUCAAAGGAACCAAACCUUCCACCUGCCAAGAAUAGGGUGGCGUCAGGCUAACGCAGCCGCCACGCCAAACUGUUAAAAAUAAUGAUUACGUCAAGACAACAUCCUCAGAAAAGAGUCCCGACUAAUCUGGGCCGGGCUAGAAUAAACACCUCCUGUUCUGACCUACCUCUGAGGUGAAAGGAUCUAUUUCUUCCCUGAAUUGCGCCCCCAGUUCUGCGCAUUCACGUGCUUGCUCAGCAGACACCCAAACAGAGCGUUUGGGGUUUGCCCAGCUGUUCUAUUUCCAGCCCGUUCAGCUCGCGGCAGGUGCCGCCGCCCUCCCGGCUCCGUCCCUCCUCCUCCCCCUCCUCCCCGCCCCCUCGACUUCCCUUCCCGCUCUUUCUCCCGCUCCUCCUUCCUCCCCUUCCUCCGCCCCUGUGAUCCGCACCCCCUCGCUUCCUCUCCCCUCACCGCCUCCCUAGUGCGCAUUCCCAGGGGCUCACAGGUGUGUGUGGAAAAGCCCGGGGCGCAGCUCCUGACCCCCAACUCUGCGGAAGAGAGGAGGAGUGGAAGAGGCACCGCCGGCCCCCCUGUGCGCUUCUCCCGGCUUUGGGGAGUGAGCACGAAGGUAGCACUGCUUCUGGGUCACCAGGAGGGAAAUGGCAGGGCCAGGGAGUCAUCUCAUGAACAUCCAUGUCCCCAGACCUGCAUCAGGCAGGACACUGCCCCCAUCCCGUCAUCCUACAGUGAGUGGCCCUAGCAAGGUGUUUCUGGAAAAGGGUUUCUGGUGCUUUCUGUUGUGGAAGUCAAGUCUGCCACCUGCUUACUCCCCUGGGACCCUUCCCCUACUUAUAAAUGGGGAAGGACACACCUCGAGUACCAUGCACCUACCUGAGGCUGGCGAGCCGUUUCACACCUUCCUCCUCCUGGCAAAUGUGUGGGAAAUGUAUUAUCCCCAUUUCAUGGAUGAGAGACUGUGCUCAGAGAGGUUAGGUCAUUUGUCCAAAGUUAUACAGCUCAUAAGCCGCAAGGCCAGAGGCAGCCAGGAUUAGCAUUCUGAACAUGGGCAAUAAAUCCAUGGCAGGGGUGGUGCUGGUGCCAAGGGGUCAGCUCCUACCUGUGGCUGGGCAUGGCCCUAGAGCCCCUGGUCGGGUGCCUGGGGCCAGUACCUGGCUGAAUGCGUUCAGGUCAAAAUCAGGCUGUAAAAUCUACUACGUGGGACCUGUAUGCCUCGAUUUCUUCAUCCAUAAAUUGGGGGUGAUUAAAAGAGCCCUUCCCUCCUGGGUUGGUGCUGAGGAUGAAUCCACCUACAGGGCUUAGAGCAGUGUUUGGCCCACAUAAGCACUCAGUGUUAGCUAUUGCUGUGUCAGGAGGCACCAAUUCUUUGAUUCUGGAGAAACACCCGAGCCCCUGAGAGAAGGUUGGAGGAAUGAUAAGAUAACUUCCAUCUCAGGUAGUGCUUUAGAGGAUCCACAGCAGCUGCCCACCCACUUUCUCAUUUAAUUUUCAUAACUCCCUUGGAUGAGGGCAGGGGAGGUUGAAUUCCCAUGUGCAGAUGUGGACCUGAAGCCCAGCAAUAUCCCAGGACUGGACGGGGUCCCCUGUGGAAAUAAACCCUUUCCAGCCUCUCUCUCUCUAUGGUCCACUUAGGCAGAAGGACUUGCACAUACCUGAGCAACCAGAGAGGCCCUUGGAGAAUUAGGGAGGGCCCGAGGCUCAUGUGAGAACAGCCUGAUGAAGGCUGAGGAGGAAGAUGGAGAAGAAGCCAGGACAUGAGCCCCCGGCCCUUCCAAGGGGACUCCAGUGCCAAUCCAAGCCAUUAAUGUCGGGAAGAACCUGGGAAGCUGAAGUGGCGGGGAGGCAGUGGGGGGACUUGGCUGGCACACGGUGCUGGUGGGGAGAGGGAGAGGCCCGACAUCCCAGGGAAUGGUUCUGGACAAGUUCUGAAAUCAGACAUGGCCUAGAUUGACAGGCGUGAAAGGCAGGAGUCAGCAGUGAGCAGCUAAUUCAUUCGCUUUCUACUCAUUCCUUCCUACCGUCAUUCACCAUCCAGCUCCUGAGAGCUGAGCAGGACUGGAGAGAAAAGCAUUAAUAAAGGUGAAGCAUCUGUAAUAAAUGAGUAAACAAGCUACAGGCUGUUCCGUGAGAAGGACUGUAACAGAGAGGUGAACAAAGUGCAGUGAGAGCACAAAGGAAGAAUCCAAGAAGCAGUCUCAGAGGAGGUGACAGCUGAGUGAACCUUGAGGGAUGAAUAGGAGUUUGCCAGGAAGAGGAAUCAAAUGUUGGAAUGUGGAAGGAGGGCAAAAAGGAAAGAGAAGGUCUUCUGUCUAGAGGCAACUCCUGUUGCUUAAUCACGUUGGAGCUUCCUUUUGUGUUCCAUUAUCUCUUUUGUUAAUCAGAGCCAAGCCAGAAUUCCCUGCAGAACUCUGGCCUCUAAUUUGACUCACACAAGGAAGCUCCCACUUUCUUUCUCCUCUG